Hibiscus syriacus is the source of this 179-nucleotide long non-coding RNA. RefSeq lists it as uncharacterized. NCBI's taxonomy places the organism in Eukaryota, Viridiplantae, Streptophyta, Magnoliopsida, Malvales, Malvaceae. The transcript is spliced from 3 exons. The record is from RefSeq and is a predicted model, not a curated record.
UUUUUUGUCAGUAAGCGGUCCUAUCCUUCCACGAGUAGGCAGGCUCGUGUUCGGUCAACCCCACAGUCAUGAAUGCUGAAUAUGACUAUUUAUUCAAGCUUUUGCUAAUAGGAGACUCUGGAGUAGGCAAAUCGUGUCUUCUUCUGAGAUUUUCUGACGAUUCAUAUCUGGAGAGUUAU